AUUGAACGCUGGCGGCAUGCCUUACACAUGCAAGUCGAACGGUAACGCGGGGCAACCUGGCGACGAGUGGCGAACGGGUGAGUAAUACAUCGGAACGUGCCCAGUAGUGGGGGAUAGCCCGGCGAAAGCCGGAUUAAUACCGCAUACGACCUACGGGUGAAAGCGGGGGAUCGCAAGACCUCGCGCUAUUGGAGCGGCCGAUGUCAGAUUAGCUAGUUGGUGGGUAAAAGCCUACCAAGGCGACGAUCUGUAGCUGGUCUGAGAGGACGACCAGCCACACUGGGACUGAGACACGGCCCAGACUCCUACGGGAGGCAGCAGUGGGGAAUUUUGGACAAUGGGGGCAACCCUGAUCCAGCCAUGCCGCGUGCGGGAAGAAGGCCU
Molecule: ribosomal RNA, 384 nt
Filed under: uncultured bacterium
Lineage: Bacteria
Description: bacterial SSU rRNA
Rfam family: Bacterial small subunit ribosomal RNA
Source: RNAcentral